AAAGAGGAAGAUUAUUCUGGAUUGUCUUGGUGGGUCCAGUACGAUUACAUGAGCCCUUAAUAGCAGAGAACAGAGGAGAGGAGGAUGUCAAAGUGAUUCUAUGUGUGAGAAGGACUUGGCAUAUAAUUGCUGGCUUGAAGAUGGAAUGGCCAUAUGGAAAGUAUGAGAAGGAGCUGAAUUUUGCCAACAUCCUGAGUGUACUUGAGCGUGUUCUUUUCCAGAGCAUCCAGAAAAGCAUGGAGCCCUGCCAAUCCCUUUCUUGUGGUCCUGUGAAACCCUAAUAAGAGAGUCAGGUUGGGUUAUUCUGUGCCCAGAAUUGUGAGCUACUGAAACUAUAAGGUAAUAAGUGGAUAUUGGUUUAAUUGCUUAAUUUGAGAUAAUUUGUUAUGAUAUCAAGAGAAAACUAAUACACAAAGUAAUCUAGAACACCUAGAAUCUAGGGGAGCAUGAAAGUAUCCUGCACUAACUGGGUGAAUCUGAGUUCCAGAUCAAGGAAGGAUGUGAGAAUAAUAAUUGGCUUUUGCACUGGCUAGGUGAAACCCCUAGAUUUCUCAGAAUUAUUAAAGAAGGCAGAGCCUGACCAAAUAUACUCCCACAAUAGAGAAGUAGGGCCUUGGAGUCAUAUUAAAAUAGAAUAAUUAGAGAGAUAGGAGGGUCUCCAGGCUGGCAAAAUGGGACUUAUAAACUAUUUGUAGAAAAAAAUAAUAUCUAUGUAUUGGGAGACAUACAUAGGGUCUCUUGUAUUUCUGCAUUCUUGCAAGCAAAAUCAUGGAUAUCUUUUCUUGCAGACAAUACUUUCAAGGAUGAUUGUAUAGGGAACAGCCCUGGAAUAUAGAGAUAUUGAUGUCUUCCUUUGGAGCAGGGACAAAUUUAUUUACUGACCAGCAUAACAGAGGCAAAACUUGCUUCUGGAGCAAAGUGAUUUAUAGGCACUGGAGUAGAACAGGGGAGUCGUGGAAAAAAGCAAUUAACAAG
Non-coding RNA from Sus scrofa (pig), 975 nucleotides. NCBI's taxonomy places the organism in Eukaryota, Metazoa, Chordata, Mammalia, Artiodactyla, Suidae. The record is from RefSeq and is a predicted model, not a curated record.